This 595-nucleotide long non-coding RNA is filed under the name Ursus maritimus (polar bear). RNAcentral describes it as "lncRNA (ENSUMAG00000023313.1)". The record is from RNAcentral. Lineage: Eukaryota; Metazoa; Chordata; Mammalia; Carnivora; Ursidae.
UUUCAAGCUCCUUACGGUUUCAAAAGAUGAAGAUGUGUUCCUACCCGUAGUGUGGUACUUGCAAUAUUGGAGACAUGUGGGAGGGGAGAAGGGCCAGUCUCUUUCGCAUAAAGUAGCAGCGUAUUUAGUCAAAUAUAAAUAUAAAUCAGGCAUCUACCUUAUCUACCUUAUUGCACAGAAGCCUGGAAAACAGAGCUUGGCAAUUACCCACCUGGAGUUAGACAACAAUGGCCAAACUGGAUAAUUCCAAUUACAGAUAAUUUGUUGGUUUAAAUCAUUUGAUUUAAAUAAAGGAAAUGUCUGCUGAGCUUUAGACCUACGUAAGUCAUUUGCAGGCUUGACCCUGAGCCUGGAGGAUAUGGGAGAUUAUCGAUGGCAAAGUAAUGGACCAGAAUGAGCACAAAAACAGCUGAUGGGAGAAUCGGAAAAUAUGUGUUGGUAUCGACUAUAUGAUUACCUGUAUCCAGUAUACCAGCGCUCAGUGUGGAUGCUCGAGUGUGAGCCUUCGGUGACGUGUGUACCUGUCCUCCGGGAUGCAUUCCCAGCAGGACUGAGAGCUGGAUACCUGGUCCAUGGUCUACUCGUCACCCUGUGA